GAGUUUGAUUCUGGCUCAGGAUGAACGCUGGCGGCGUGCCUAACACAUGCAAGUCGAACGGAGAACUUAAGUGGAAGUUUUCGGAUGGAAACUUUUGUUCUUAGUGGCGGACGGGUGAGUAACGCGUGGGCAACCUGCCUCAUACAGGGGGACAACAGACGGAAACGUCUGCUAAGACCGCAUACGUCUUUUUGGUCGCAUGACUGAGAAGGGAAAAGAGCAGUCUGGUAUGAGAUGGGCCCGCGUCUGAUUAGCUGGUUGGUAAGGUAACGGCUUACCAAGGCAACGAUCAGUAGCCGGACUGAGAGGUCGGACGGCCACAUUGGGACUGAGACACGGCCCAAACUCCUACGGGAGGCAGCAGUGGGGGAUAUUGCACAAUGGAGGAAACUCUGAUGCAGCGACGCCGCGUGAGUGAAGAAGUAUUUCGGUAUGUAAAGCUCUAUCAGCCAGGGAAGAUGAUGACGUACCU
RNAcentral lists this ribosomal RNA (472 nucleotides) under Catonella sp. canine oral taxon 158. RNAcentral's name for it is "bacterial SSU rRNA". It matches the Rfam family "Bacterial small subunit ribosomal RNA", at positions 9 to 461 of the family's 1533-position model. Lineage: Bacteria; Bacillati; Bacillota; Clostridia; Lachnospirales; Lachnospiraceae. The record is from RNAcentral.